RNAcentral lists this ribosomal RNA (429 nucleotides) under Bacteroidota bacterium. RNAcentral's name for it is "Bacteroidetes bacterium partial 16S ribosomal RNA". It matches the Rfam family "Bacterial small subunit ribosomal RNA", at positions 355 to 776 of the family's 1533-position model. The record is from RNAcentral. Lineage: Bacteria; Pseudomonadati; Bacteroidota.
UAGGGAAUCUUCGGCAAUGGGGGGAACCCUGACCGAGCAACGCCGCGUGAGUGAAGAAGGUUUUCGGAUCGUAAAGCUCUGUUGUUAAGGAAGAACGAGUGUGAGAAUGGAAAGUUCAUACUGUGACGGUACUUAACCAGAAAGGGACGGCUAACUACGUGCCAGCAGCCGCGGUAAUACGUAGGUCCCGAGCGUUGCCCGGAUUUAUUGGGCGUAAAGCGAGCGCAGGCGGUUAGAUAAGUCUGAAGUUAAAGGCAGUGGCUCAACCAUUGUAGGCUUUGGAAACUGUUUAACUUGAGUGCAGAAGGGGAGAGUGGAAUUCCAUGUGUAGCGGUGAAAUGCGUAGAUAUAUGGAAGAACACCGGUGGCGAAAGCGGCUCUCUGGUCUGUAACUGACGCUGAGGCUCGAAAGCGUGGGGAGCGAACAGG